CCUACGGGAGGCUGCAGUGGGGAGUAUUGGACAAUGGGCGAAAGCCUGAUCCAGCCAUGCCGCGUGUGAAGAAGGCCUUCGGGUUGUAAAGCACUUUCAGUGGGGAAGAAAGCCUUGGGGCUAAUACCCUCGAGGAAGGACAUCACCCACAGAAGAAGCACCGGCUAACUCCGUGCCAGCAGCCGCGGUAAUACGGAGGGUGCGAGCGUUAAUCGGAAUUACUGGGCGUAAAGCGCGCGUAGGCGGUCUGAUAAGCCGGUUGUGAAAGCCCCGGGCUCAACCUGGGAACGGCAUCCGGAACUGUCAGGCUAGAGUGCAGGAGAGGAAGGUAGAAUUCCCGGUGUAGCGGUGAAAUGCGUAGAGAUCGGGAGGAAUACCAGUGGCGAAGGCGGCCUUCUGGACUGACACUGACGCUGAGGUGCGAAAGCGUGGGUAGCAAACAGGAUUAGAUACCCUAGUAGUC
RNAcentral lists this ribosomal RNA (463 nucleotides) under Vreelandella stevensii. RNAcentral describes it as "partial 16S ribosomal RNA". It matches the Rfam family "Bacterial small subunit ribosomal RNA", at positions 338 to 795 of the family's 1533-position model. The record is from RNAcentral. Lineage: Bacteria; Pseudomonadati; Pseudomonadota; Gammaproteobacteria; Oceanospirillales; Halomonadaceae.